AUGGCGACCUUGACGGAGGAGGUUGCUGCUGCGGCGGUGGUCGGAGCCGGCGAAAAGGCGGAGGCGGUUGCUACGCCGGAGAAGGUUGAUGAGGUGAAGGAGGCGGGUGCGGGCGGGGAGGAGAUGGAGGUCGCCGGCGGGGAGGCGAAGAAGGCGGAGGAGGAGCAAGGGGAGCAGGGCAAGGAGACGGAGAAGAAGCCGAGGAGCAGGAAGCCCCGGUCGGCGGGGCCGCACCACCCGCCCUACUUCGAGAUGAUCAAGGAGGCGAUCAUGGCGGCGGGCGACGGCAAGGCGGGGGCGAGCGCGUACGCGAUCGCGAAGCGCGUCGGGGAGCGGCACGGCGAGGCGCUCCCGGGCAACUACCGCAAGGUGCUGGGCGCGCAGCUCCGGGGCUUCGCCGCCAAGGGCCGGCUCGUCCGGGUCAAGGCCUCCUUCCGCCUCGCCCCGGCCGAGGAGAAGAAGGCGGCGCCCAAGUCCAAGAAGAGGACGGCCACCACCAAGAAGGCCGCGUCGAAGAAGGCGGCGCCGGCGCCGGCGCGCCAGAAGAGGGCGAAGAAGGCGGGACCGCCGACGGCGAAGCCGAAGCCGAAGCAGCCAAAGUCGAUCCGCGGCAGGAAGGCCAACAAGGCCAGCGCCUGA
This 639-nucleotide ribosomal RNA is filed under the name Triticum aestivum (bread wheat). RNAcentral describes it as "partial small subunit ribosomal RNA". The record is from RNAcentral. Lineage: Eukaryota; Viridiplantae; Streptophyta; Magnoliopsida; Poales; Poaceae.